UUUAGAGUUAGGAAGGGUUUAGGGUUAGAAAAGAUUUAGGGUUAGGUAGGGUUUAUGGUUAAAAAGGGCAUAGGGUAGGUAGGGUUUAGGGUUAGUAGGAUUUAGUGUUAGGUAGGGUUUAGGGUUGGUAGGGUUUAGGGCUAGGUAAAGUUUAAGGUUAGGUAGGGUUUAGGGUUAGGUAGGGUUAGGUAGGGUUUAGAGGUAAGUAGGGUUUAGGGUAGGUAGGGUUUAGAGUUAGGUAGGGUUUAGGGUUAUGUUGGGUUUAGGAUUAGAAGGGGUAGGGUUUAGUGUUAGCUAGGGUUUAGGGUAGGUAGGGUUUAGGGUUAUGUAGGGCUUAGGGUUAGUAGGGUUUAGGGUUAGAAGGGUUUAGGGUUAGGUAGGGUUUAAGGUUAGAAAGGGUUUAGGGUAGGUAGGGUUCAGGGUUAGGUAGGGUUUAGGGUUUAGAAAGGUUUUAGGUUAGGUAGGGUUAGUAGGGUUUAGGGUUAUGAAGGGUUAGGGUUAGGGUUAGGUAGGGUUUAGGGUUAUGCAUGGUUUAAGGUUAGUAGGGUUUAGGGUUAGUAGGGUUUAGGGUUAGAAGGGGUUAGGUAGGGUUUAGGGUUAGAAGGGGUUAGGUAGGGUUUAGGGUUAGAAGGGGUUAGGUAGGGUUUAGGGUUACAUAAGGUUUAGGGUUUAAGGUAGGUAGGGUUUAGGGUUAUGUAGGGCUUAGCGUUAGUAGGAUUUAGGGUUAGGUAGGGUUUAGGGUUAGGUAGGGUUUAAGGUUUGGUAGGGUUUAGAAUUAGGUAGGGUUUAAGGUUAGGUAGGGUUUAGGGUUACGUAGGGUUUAGGGUUAGAAAGGGUUUAUGGUUAGUAGGGUUUAAGAUUAGUAGGGUUUAGGGAUAGUAGGGUUUAGGGCUAGAAGGGGUUUAGGGUUAGAAAGGUUUUAGGUUAGGUAACGUUAGGUAGGAUUGUAGGGUUUAGGGUUAUGUAGGAUUAGGGUUAGGUAGGGUUUAGGGUUAGUAGGGUUUAGGGUUAGGUAGAGUUUAGGAUAGGUAGGGUUUAGGGUUAGGGUUAGGUAGGGUUUAGGGUUUGGUUUUAGGUAGGAUUUUAGGGUUUAGGCGUACUGUUUUGUCUCUAUAUUAUUUUUAGCAAAUAUAAACAAACUAGGUGUUUUGCCCGCGAUGCGGGCUUAAACAUUUUCAUAAAUUUUUGAAAAGUUGUUUUCAAUUUAUGUAAAGAAUAUUAUUUUUUGUGAAUGAGCAAAGAUUUAAGGAUGGUUAUUGGCAAAUAAAUGUUUGAGAACUUUAAUAUUUUUUUUUUGAGAUUCUACUGCUAUAAUAUUUUAAGGGUUUUUGAAAUAUUACUAAUUAAUUGUUAUUGAAUCGAAGAUUUUCAAAUUUCAUCAAAAUUCUUUAUUUGUUUAAGAUAAUAUUUUUCAUUCUAUUUUAACAAAAUUUAACGUUAUUAAAAUAUAAUCUAUCUUUUUUAUUCAUAAGAUACAACUUUCAAAAUAUUUUGGCAAUUAAAAUAAUAGAUGUAAGAUUUAAAAUCCACUAUGUAAUUUGUUAUUUGAAUAUCACAACAAAAAAUUACAUAGCGGUAGAGUUUAGAUUUUUUUAACUUUAAAUUUUAAGAUUAUUUUUUAGUGUUUAGGGUUGGUAGAGUUUUAGCGUUAGAUGGGAUUUAUGGUUAGGUUUAGGUAGGAUUAAUAGGGUUUAGGGUUAGGCAAGGUUUAGGGUUAACAGGAUUUAGGGUUAGGUAGGGUUUAGGGUUAGAAAGGAUUUAGGGUUAGGUAGGGAGUUAAGCAGGGUUUAGGGUUAAAAAGGAUUUAGGGUUAGGUAGGGUUUAGGGUUAAAAAUGGUUUAGGGUUGGUAGCGUCUAGGGCUAGGUAGAGUUUAGGGUUAGGUAGGGUUUAGGGUUAUGUAGGGUUUAGGGUUAGAAGGGGUUAGGUAGGGUUUAGGAUUAGGUAGGGUUUAGGGUUAUGUAGGGCUUAGGGUUAGUAGGGUUUAGGGUUAAUAGGGUUAGAAGGGGUUUAGGGUUAGGUAGGGUUUAAGGUUAAAAAGGGUUUAGGGUAGGUAGGGUUUAGGGUUAGGUAGGGUUUAGGGUUUGGUAGGGUUUAGAAUUAGGUAGGGUAUAGGGUUAGGUAGGGUUUAGGGUUACGUAGGGUUUAGGGUUAGUAGGGUUUAAGGUUAGUAGGGUUUUGGGUUAGGUAGGGUUUAGGGUUAGUAGGGUUUUGGGUUAGGUAGGGUUUAGGGCUAGAAAUGGUUUAGGGUUAGAAAGGUUUUAGGUUAGGUAGGGUUUAGGUUAGGUAGGGUUAGUAGGGUUUAUGGUUAUGUAGGGGUAGGGUUAGGUAGGGUUUAGGGUUAUUAGGGUUUAGGGUUAGGUAGAGUUUAGGAUAGGUAGGGUUUAGGGUAAGGGUUAGGUAGGGUUUAGGGUUAGGUUUUAGGUAGGGGUUUAGGGUUAGGAAAGGUUUAGGGUUAGGUAGGGUUUAGGGUUAGUUAGGGUUUAGGGUUAAAUAGGGUUUAGGGUUAGGUAGGGUUUACGUUUAGGGUUAGGUAGGUUUAGGGUUUAGGUAGUAUGAAGGGUUUAGGGAUUAGGGUUAGGUUUAUGUAGGGUUUAGGGUUAGAUAGGGUUAAGGUCUAGGUUUAGAUAGGGUGUAGGGUUAGGUAGGAUUUAGUGUUUAGGUAGUAUGAAAGGUUUAGCGUUGGGUUUAAGGUUUGGUUUAAAAUAAUGUUUAGGAUUAUAGGGUUUGGGGUUUUUUUGUUUUUUUGUUUAUACAUUUAGUAUUGAGUUUUUUCGAUAAAAUUUUAUAGUAAUAUUAUU
This 2799-nucleotide long non-coding RNA is filed under the name Brassica napus (rape). RNAcentral's name for it is "long non-coding RNA (BNAP_LNC008940)". The record is from RNAcentral. Lineage: Eukaryota; Viridiplantae; Streptophyta; Magnoliopsida; Brassicales; Brassicaceae.